Non-coding RNA from Triticum urartu, 762 nucleotides. NCBI's taxonomy places the organism in Eukaryota, Viridiplantae, Streptophyta, Magnoliopsida, Poales, Poaceae. The record is from RefSeq and is a predicted model, not a curated record.
ACUUCCUCGCAAACUUCUUGUCUGCGCCUGCUACUUCUGCUUCUGCUGCGUCGGCUUCAAGUUGCCCUGUGAUGAGAGGAGACUGAAGCGCGACAGAAUCGACGAAACAUGCUUGUCACUAGCUAGUAUUGUCUUCAGGCUCUCUCUCUCUCUCUCUCUCUCUCGGGAGGACGCCGCCCUUCCUCUGCUCCCUGUCCAAGCAAGCGAGCUCUGGAUCCACCCCCACAACCACGGCAUCGGCACCGGCACCGGAGGCCGUGGAGAUGCAGCUCCGUCGCGCAGUCGUCGAGCCAAGCAGUAGCGCUCCAUGGGGGGCAUCAACAUCAGCCUCGACGGUUCGGUCAUCUACUCCUACCACCAUGACUCCCCGCAAAAGUUCAAUCUCUCUCUCUCUAUCUCUCAGCUGUGAGCUAGUUCCUAAUACUGUUCCUAUUAAGAAUCCAAUCCAUCCUGGGGAGAGCCCACUGUAGUGAUGAGCGAGCAACUUUGGCAAGCACCAGGCCAACUGGAAGGCAGGCCCCAUCAGAGCCAAGAGCAUGCCGAAGAAGGCGGCGGCGUAUGUAUGAUGCUUGCUUCUUCUAAUCUGCCGUCUUAUGUCAUGCCUGUAGUGUAUGGUGGCUGUAUAUAUAUGGUGAUGAUUUUAUUUGUUUCUUCCAUUUGGAUGCAACAGGUGUGGUCCAUGGAUGUUAGAAUGAGGAACUGUAUGAUAGUAGAUACGGCAACAGUGUAAUAGUAUAAUCAGGAAUAACGACAUUUCCAUCA